Molecule: small RNA, 174 nt
Filed under: Pan troglodytes (chimpanzee)
Lineage: Eukaryota; Metazoa; Chordata; Mammalia; Primates; Hominidae
Also listed under: 1 other name
Source: RNAcentral
CACAUAGCUGCAGUUAGUGAAGUUGUCUAGAUGCUCUCAAAAUGGUCACAACACAGGCUUCAGUAGUGAAAAACCGCUCAUGCCCUUGCCCAUGUGUUUUAACUCUAUCUAGAAAGGAGGACCACUUUUUCAGAAACAGUUCAGAUACCAUUGCCAAAUCAAAACUGGGCUUCU